This 70-nucleotide transfer RNA is filed under the name Pseudocheilinus hexataenia (sixline wrasse). RNAcentral's name for it is "tRNA-Phe". It matches the Rfam family "tRNA". Rfam says of the family: Transfer RNA (tRNA) molecules are approximately 80 nucleotides in length. The record is from RNAcentral. Lineage: Eukaryota; Metazoa; Chordata; Actinopteri; Labriformes; Labridae.
GCUAUCGUAGCUUAAAAGGAAAGCAUAGCACUGAAGUUGCUAAGAUGGACCCUCUAAAGUCCCGAGAGCA